This 492-nucleotide ribosomal RNA is filed under the name uncultured bacterium. RNAcentral's name for it is "partial 16S ribosomal RNA". It matches the Rfam family "Bacterial small subunit ribosomal RNA", at positions 29 to 507 of the family's 1533-position model. The record is from RNAcentral.
AGUGAACGCUGGCGGUAGGCCUAACACAUGCAAGUCGAACGGCAGCACAGUAAGAGCUUGCUCUUACGGGUGGCGAGUGGCGGACGGGUGAGGAAUACAUCGGAAUCUACUUUUUCGUGGGGGAUAACGUAGGGAAACUUACGCUAAUACCGCAUACGACCUACGGGUGAAAGCAGGGGAUCUUCGGACCUUGCGCGAUUGAAUGAGCCGAUGUCGGAUUAGCUAGUUGGCGGGGUAAAGGCCCACCAAGGCGACGAUCCGUAGCUGGUCUGAGAGGAUGAUCAGCCACACUGGAACUGGGACACGGUCCAGACUCCUACGGGAGGCAGCAGUGGGGAAUAUUGGACAAUGGGCGCAAGCCUGAUCCAGCCAUACCGCGUGGGUGAAGAAGGCCUUCGGGUUGUAAAGCCCUUUUGUUGGGAAAGAAAAGCAGCAGGUUAAUACCCCGCUGUUAUGACGGUACCCAAAGAAUAAGCACCGGCUAACUUCGUG